AGAGCGAACGCUGGCGGCAGGCCUAACACAUGCAAGUCGAGCGGCCGUAGCAAUACGGCAGCGGCAGACGGGAGAGUAACACGUGGGAACGCGCCCUUCGGUUCGGAAUAACUCAGGGAAACUUGGGCUAAUACCGGAUACGCCCUUACGGGGAAAGAUUUAUUGCCGAAGGAACGGCCCGCGUCCGAUUAGCUUGUUGGUGAGGUAACGGCUCACCAAGGCGACGAUCGGUAGCUGGUCUGAGAGGAUGACCAGCCUCACUGGGACUGAGACACGGCCCAGACUCCUACGGGAGGCAGCAGUGGGGAAUAUUGGACAAUGGGCGCAAGCCUGAUCCAGCCAUGCCGCGUGGGUGAUGAAGGCCCUAGGGUUGUAAAGCCCUUUCGGCGGGACGAAGCGAAAGUGACGGUACCUGCAGAGAAGCGCGGCUAACUACGUGCCAGCAGCCGC
Molecule: ribosomal RNA, 450 nt
Filed under: uncultured bacterium
Lineage: Bacteria
Description: SSU rRNA
Rfam family: Bacterial small subunit ribosomal RNA
Source: RNAcentral